Molecule: ribosomal RNA, 510 nt
Filed under: Campylobacter coli
Lineage: Bacteria; Pseudomonadati; Campylobacterota; Epsilonproteobacteria; Campylobacterales; Campylobacteraceae
Description: bacterial LSU rRNA
Rfam family: Bacterial large subunit ribosomal RNA
Source: RNAcentral
GGUAGCGAAAUUCCUUGUCGGUUAAAUACCGACCUGCAUGAAUGGCGUAACGAGAUGGGAGCUGUCUCAAAGAGGGAUCCAGUGAAAUUGUAGUGGAGGUGAAAAUUCCUCCUACCCGCGGCAAGACGGAGAGACCCCGUGGACCUUUACUAUAGCUUGACACUGCUAUUUGGAUAAAGAUGUGCAGGAUAGGUGGGAGGCUUUGAGUAUAUGACGCCAGUUGUAUAUGAGCCAUUGUUGAGAUACCACUCUUCUUUAUUUGGGUAGCUAACUAGCCUAAGUUAUCCUUAGGUAGGACAAUGUCUGGUGGGUAGUUUGACUGGGGCGGUCGCCUCCCAAAUAAUAACGGAGGCUUACAAAGGUUGGCUCAGAACGGUUGGAAAUCGUUCGUAGAGUAUAAAGGUAUAAGCCAGCUUAACUGCAAGACAUACAAGUCAAGCAGAGACGAAAGUCGGUCUUAGUGAUCCGGUGGUUCUGUGUGGAAGGGCCAUCGCUCAAAGGAUAAAAGGU